RNAcentral lists this ribosomal RNA (253 nucleotides) under uncultured bacterium. Its description in RNAcentral is "partial 16S ribosomal RNA". It matches the Rfam family "Bacterial small subunit ribosomal RNA", at positions 524 to 776 of the family's 1533-position model. The record is from RNAcentral.
UACGAAGGGGGCUAGCGUUGCUCGGAAUCACUGGGCGUAAAGGGUGCGUAGGCGGGUUUUUAAGUCAGAGGUGAAAUCCUGGAGCUCAACUCCAGAACUGCCUUUGAUACUGGAAGUCUUGAGUAUGGCAGAGGUGAGUGGAACUGCGAGUGUAGAGGUGAAAUUCGUAGAUAUUCGCAAGAACACCAGUGGCGAAGGCGGCUCACUGGGCCAUUACUGACGCUGAGGCACGAAAGCGUGGGGAGCAAACAGG